UACGUAGGUCCCGAGCGUUAUCCGGAUUUAUUGGGUUUAAAGGGUGCGUAGGCGGGCUUUUAAGUCAGCGGUAAAAAUUCGGGGCUCAACCCCGUCCGGCCGUUGAAACUGGGGGCCUUGAGUGGGCGAGAAGAAGGCGGAAUGCGUGGUGUAGCGGUGAAAUGCAUAGAUAUCACGCAGAACCCCGAUUGCGAAGGCAGCCUUCCGGCGCCCUACUGACGCUGAGGCACGAAAGUGCGGGGAUCGAACAGG
Molecule: ribosomal RNA, 252 nt
Filed under: uncultured bacterium
Lineage: Bacteria
Description: partial 16S ribosomal RNA
Rfam family: Bacterial small subunit ribosomal RNA
Source: RNAcentral